CAAAUCAAAUCCCUAAUUCUUUUUAAUCGAUCAGAUUAAAAGAACAUGGAAUGAAUCAAAUCGGCAGAUGUUUCGCAAACCGCACUUCCGUCGUCGUUCUGCCUCUCCUCUACCUUCCUAAAGUAGAGGAAAUUAAGAGUCGUGUUAAUGUUUCAUUACGUCGGAGAAAUAGAUGAUGGUGGCGAGCGCCGGAGAAACGUCACGAACGGAGAUAAGCUCUUUCUCUCCCUAAAAAUGCGAAUGCCACUUUGGCUCGUCCUUUUCGACCAGAUCCAAGAACAGGAAAACAACCCUAAUCUGGCUGCUGGUGACGUCUCUCUCUCCUCUACAUUCGUUCACGCCUGUUUCUGGCCAUCAGGUGCUUGCUCAGGACGUCAACGCCCAUGGACGUCUCUGCCCACCGGAAACGAAGAUGAUGACUGCUUUCCUUCAGAGACAGGGAAGGAGUUGCGACCACGAAGGAAGCACGUGGGUGGUGAAGCAGCAGCAGCGUCUAUGGCGGCCCUGCGUGGGCCACAGCCCCGUGAGGGAGGAGAUGGGGAUGGGAAUAUGCCGUAGGGCUUCUUCGCCAAAAGAGGAAGCCUGAGAGGAUAAGGAAGCCAACGCGACGCACGCAGGGCGUUCCACUACGCUACAACAGUGUACGUCGGUGCUGAUGUAAUUAUUGGAUUUGUGUUUCAUCCCCCUUUUUCUUAAUUAAUUUAUAAUGAUUUAUCUAUCUAACCUAA
Musa acuminata AAA Group (dessert banana) is the source of this 728-nucleotide long non-coding RNA. RefSeq lists it as uncharacterized. The record is from RefSeq and is a predicted model, not a curated record. Lineage: Eukaryota; Viridiplantae; Streptophyta; Magnoliopsida; Zingiberales; Musaceae. The transcript is spliced from 3 exons.